UGAUGCAGCCAUGCCGCGUGUGUGAAGAAGGCCUUCGGGUUGUAAAGCACUUUCAGCGGGGAGGAAGGCGUUAAGGUUAAUAACCUUGGCGAUUGACGUUACCCGCAGAAGAAGCACCGGCUAACUCCGUGCCAGCAGCCGCGGUAAUACGGAGGGUGCAAGCGUUAAUCGGAAUUACUGGGCGUAAAGCGCACGCAGGCGGUCUGUCAAGUCGGAUGUGAAAUCCCCGGGCUCAACCUGGGAACUGCAUUCGAAACUGGCAGGCUAGAGUCUUGUAGAGGGGGGUAGAAUUCCAGGUGUAGCGGUGAAAUGCGUAGAGAUCUGGAGGAAUACCGGUGGCGAAGGCGGCCCCCUGGACAAAGACUGACGCUCAGGUGCGAAAGCGUGGGGAGCAAACAGGAUUAGAUACCCU
This 412-nucleotide ribosomal RNA is filed under the name Klebsiella pneumoniae. Its description in RNAcentral is "bacterial SSU rRNA". It matches the Rfam family "Bacterial small subunit ribosomal RNA", at positions 384 to 788 of the family's 1533-position model. The record is from RNAcentral. Lineage: Bacteria; Pseudomonadati; Pseudomonadota; Gammaproteobacteria; Enterobacterales; Enterobacteriaceae.